GAUCCUGGCUCAGGAUGAACGCUAGCUACAGGCUUAACACAUGGCAAGUCGAGGGAAACGAUAUUGGAAGCUUGCUUCCGAUAGGCGUCGACCGGCGCACGGGUGAGUAACGCGUAUCCAACCUGCCCAUCACUUGGGGAUAACCUUGCGAAAGUAAGACUAAUACCCAAUGACGUCUCUAGAAGACAUCUGAAGGAGAUUAAAGAUUUAUCGGUGAUGGAUGGGGAUGCGUCUGAUUAGCUUGUUGGCGGGGUAACGGCCACCAAGGCGACGAUCAGUAGGGGUUCUGAGAGGAAGGUCCCCCACAUUGGAACUGAGACACGGUCCAAACUCCUACGGGAGGCAGCAGUGAGGAAUAUUGGUCAAUGGGCGAGAGCCUGAACCAGCCAAGUAGCGUGCAGGAUGACGGCCCUAUGGGUUGUAAACUGCUUUUAUAAGGGAAUAAAGUGGGAGUCGUGACUCUUUUUGCAUGUACCUUAUGAAUAAGGACCGGCUAAUUCCGUG
RNAcentral lists this ribosomal RNA (504 nucleotides) under uncultured bacterium. Its description in RNAcentral is "bacterial SSU rRNA". It matches the Rfam family "Bacterial small subunit ribosomal RNA", at positions 15 to 507 of the family's 1533-position model. The record is from RNAcentral.